Molecule: ribosomal RNA, 439 nt
Filed under: uncultured bacterium
Lineage: Bacteria
Description: bacterial SSU rRNA
Rfam family: Bacterial small subunit ribosomal RNA
Source: RNAcentral
AACGCGAAGAACCUUACCAAGGCUUGACAUGCUGGGAAAUCCUCCAGAGAUGGGGGGUCCUUCGGGUCCGAGCACAGGUGGUGCAUGGCUGUCGUCAGCUCGUGUCGUGAGAUGUUGGGUUAAGUCCCGCAACGAGCGCAACCCUUGUCCUAUGUUGCCAGCGGUUCGGCCGGGGACUCAUAGGAGACUGCCGGGGUCAACUCGGAGGAAGGUGGGGACGACGUCAAGUCAUCAUGCCCCUUACGUCUUGGGCUGCACACAUGCUACAAUGGCCGGUACAAUGGGCUGCGAGACCGCGAGGUGGAGCGAAUCCCAAAAAGCCGGUCUCAGUUCGGAUCGGAGUCUGCAACUCGACUCCGUGAAGUCGGAGUCGCUAGUAAUCGCAGAUCAGCAUUGCUGCGGUGAAUACGUUCCCGGGCCUUGUACACACCGGUAUCUC